AAUGAACGCUGGCGGCGCGCCUAAUACAUGCAAGUCGAGCGAGAAGACGUAGCAAUACGUUUGUAAAGCGGCGAACGGGUGAGGAAUACAUGGGUAACCUACCCUCGAGUGGGGAAUAACUAGCCGAAAGGUUAGCUAAUACCGCGUACGCUCCUUGGACUUCGGUCCAGGGAGGAAAGCGAUACCGUGGGUAUCGCGCUCUUGGUUGGGCUCAUGUCCUAUCAGCUUGUUGGUGAGGAACGGCUCACCAAGGCUUCGACGGGUAGCUGGUCUGAGAGGACGAUCAGCCACACUGGCACUGCGACACGGGCCAGACUCCUACGGGAGGCAGCAGUAAGGAAUAUUGCGCAAUGGGCGAAAGCCUGACGCAGCGACGCCGCGUGGGGGAGUGAGGGGUC
RNAcentral lists this ribosomal RNA (398 nucleotides) under uncultured bacterium. Its description in RNAcentral is "bacterial SSU rRNA". It matches the Rfam family "Bacterial small subunit ribosomal RNA", at positions 29 to 418 of the family's 1533-position model. The record is from RNAcentral.